Non-coding RNA from Notechis scutatus (mainland tiger snake), 120 nucleotides. NCBI's taxonomy places the organism in Eukaryota, Metazoa, Chordata, Lepidosauria, Squamata, Elapidae. The record is from RefSeq and is a predicted model, not a curated record.
CACCCUCAGAAGAGCACUGGAGGUUUUCAAGCAACGAGUGGAGACUAUUGGCCAGGUCCAUAUGCAGCUAGCCCAGAAUCUCAGGGAAGAAGCGAAGAAAAUGGAGGAUUUCAGAGAAAA